CAUAAACCCCGCUUGGUAGUACUAAAGGGAAGUAAACCAAACACUGACUCCCAAACAGAGUGGAUACAUAUCUUGGGGGAUGAUAGUUUUAAUGUUGCAGUUCCUUCUUGAGAAGAUUGGCUCAGCCCAGCCCAUGUUUGUCUGUGAACGUCUGUCUCCACCGCAUAGUGCAAACUCCUCUGAACCAGCCCGUUGGACAGAAUUGGACCUGAGAGCUGUGCUACAUUUGAAGGGAAGGGAAUAGAAGGAGAGAAAACCAUCAGCCUCCACAGGAGAGUCAAGAAGCACUUUGUGUCUCUUCCCAAAGGUGAAGAGUGCCAGGUGAGAAAAUUCAAAAUGCAAAACCAGGACUGAACAAAGAGCCUUCGGGAAUCAGAGAUAUCCCAGAAAGGACCGCUGGCUGAGGUGCCGGAAAUGUGGAAGUCACUUUGGUCCCGGUGAGAAUGAUUCGGGAUCCUUUCUCUCUCGACUCCGAUAAAGUGCUUGGCAGCAACCGAGCGACCGAAGGAAGUCAGCGUUCACAGGAGGCAAAGUCAUGGAGGAAGUCAGAGAAUAUCCGCCCUGGUUCGGGAUGGAACAGGAGUACCUGCUGUUUGGUUUGGAUGGACGGCCCUUCGGGGGGCCUCCUCUGGGAUGCUCAACAAUGAUUUUUUUUUGACAGUGCUUUUAAAUGUGUCUAACAACGCAUCAUAAUCCACCAACUUCAGCACCAAGAAGAGACUCCAUACGUCUCGACCACUGAGCGGCGAACAUCCCAAAUGCCCCGUCCUUUGCUCUCGGUGCACAAGCAGAUAGACAUUUAAACAUGAACCUGUGUGUGAGACAACAGGUUCAUCGAAGAGGCAUCAGAAGGUUGCACAAGCGUCACUUUCAGCACCUCCGUGUUCUACACAAUGACAAAUAUCCAAAUGCGGACAUUUUCUGUGAAUGAGAUGAAAAAUGAAAAAUAAGAUUGAUUGUAAAUUAAGCAGAAACAUGUUAGGUCUAGUCAAGUUGAUGUGUCUUUCACCAAGAAAACAACUUUAGAAACAGUUCAUUCAUACAUCUACACGUAAAUUGCUGAAACAAUGAAGCGACCUAGAAUUUAAAUGAAAUAAAAUAUACAAUAAAAAAAGCAGAGGAUGCUCUAUUGAGGCUAAGAAGUAAUUUCUAUGAGAGUGGGGGAAAUCUGGAAAACUAUUAGCCAGACAAUUACAACAAAAAGAGACGAGACUAUAGACGGUGUACGAAGAAUCAUUCUCUUUGGGGAAGCAAAAACACAACGAUGCUCGGAUAUCCU
Cyclopterus lumpus (lumpfish) is the source of this 1279-nucleotide long non-coding RNA. RefSeq lists it as uncharacterized. NCBI's taxonomy places the organism in Eukaryota, Metazoa, Chordata, Actinopteri, Perciformes, Cyclopteridae. The record is from RefSeq and is a predicted model, not a curated record. The transcript has 4 exons.